This 404-nucleotide ribosomal RNA is filed under the name uncultured bacterium. RNAcentral describes it as "bacterial SSU rRNA". It matches the Rfam family "Bacterial small subunit ribosomal RNA", at positions 355 to 776 of the family's 1533-position model. The record is from RNAcentral.
UGGGGAAUAUUGGACAAUGGGGGAGACCCUGAUCCAGCAAUGCCGCGUGAGUGAAGAAGGCCUUCGGGUUGUAAAACUCUUUCAGUGGGGAAGAUAAUGACGGUACCCACAGAAGAAGCACCGGCUAACUUCGUGCCAGCAGCCGCGGUAAUACGAAGGGUGCUAGCGUUGUUCGGAAUUACUGGGCGUAAAGGGCGCGUAGGCGGUCUAUUAAGUCAGAUGUGAAAUCCCUGGGCUCAACCUAGGAAUGGCAUUUGAUACUGGUAGGCUAGAGUUCAAGAGAGGAAAGCGGAAUUCCUAGUGUAGAGGUGAAAUUCGUAGAUAUUAGGAGGAACACCGGUGGCGAAGGCGGCUUUCUGGAGUGAUACUGACGCUGAGGCGCGAAAGCGUGGGGAGCAAACAGG